GUGAAUCAUCAAAUCUUUGAACGCAUAUUGCACUCUCUGGUAUUCCGGAGAGUAUGCCCGUUUGAGGGUCAGUUAAAUAAAAAUCGGGGUCUUUGCCACCUUUGGUGGUGACUCCUCCGAAUUGGGUCGUCUUUACCUUUCGGGAUAGUGACUUAAAAUUUUUUGUAUGAUAUCUGAACGUAUUUAAAUCUCUUUGUUACGUUUUGUAAUAUCGAUGGUUUAUUAGGGGUGA
Molecule: unclassified non-coding RNA, 232 nt
Filed under: Glomeromycotina sp.
Lineage: Eukaryota; Fungi; Glomeromycota
Description: partial contains 5.8S ribosomal RNA and internal transcribed spacer 2
Rfam family: 5.8S ribosomal RNA (bases 1-71)
Source: RNAcentral